RNAcentral lists this ribosomal RNA (253 nucleotides) under uncultured bacterium. RNAcentral describes it as "partial 16S ribosomal RNA". It matches the Rfam family "Bacterial small subunit ribosomal RNA", at positions 524 to 776 of the family's 1533-position model. The record is from RNAcentral.
AACGUAGGAGGCGAGCGUUAUCCGGAUUUACUGGGUGUAAAGCGCGUGUAGGCGGACCAACAAGUUGGAUGUAAAAGCGCCCGGCUCAACUGGGCGAGGUCGUUCAAAACUGUUGGACUGGAGGGUGGUAGGGGAAGGUGGAAUUCCGGGUGUAGUGGUGAAAUGCGUAGAGAUCCGGAGGAACACCAGUGGCGAAGGCGGCCUUCUAGACCAUACCUGACGCUCAGACGCGAAAGCUAGGGGAGCAAACGGG